CUUCAGCGAGCCCAGCAACAGCGGCCGUUCCCGAUCCUGUCCGUACGCCGCCAGCACCGCCUGCGCCUC
Molecule: antisense RNA, 69 nt
Filed under: Lentzea waywayandensis
Lineage: Bacteria; Bacillati; Actinomycetota; Actinomycetes; Pseudonocardiales; Pseudonocardiaceae
Description: ASpks TB sRNA
Rfam family: ASpks TB sRNA
Source: RNAcentral